GGACUACCCGGGUAUCUAAUCCUGUUUGAUCCCCACGCUUUCGCGCCUCAGCGUCAAUACUUGUCCAGGAAGGCGCCUUCGCCUCUGGUGUUCCUUCGCAUAUCUACGGAUUUUACCCCUACAUGCGAAAUUCCCCUUCCCCCUCCAAGAUUCUAGACCUGUAGUUUCAGACGCAGUUUCGAGGUUGAGCCCCGAGAUUUCACAUCUGACUUGCAGGUCCGCCUACGCGCGCUUUACGCCCAAUAAAUCCGAACAACGCUUGCACCCUUCGUAUUACCGCGGCGGCUGGCAC
This 292-nucleotide ribosomal RNA is filed under the name uncultured bacterium. Its description in RNAcentral is "partial 16S ribosomal RNA". The record is from RNAcentral.